GACGGUAUAGCUCAGGGGGAGAGUGCAUGCUUAGCAGGCACAAGGUCCUGGGUUCAAUCCCCAGUGCCUCCA
This 72-nucleotide transfer RNA is filed under the name Camelus bactrianus (Bactrian camel). It matches the Rfam family "tRNA". From Rfam's summary of the family: Transfer RNA (tRNA) molecules are approximately 80 nucleotides in length. Their secondary structure includes four short double-helical elements and three loops (D, anti-codon, and T loops). Further hydrogen bonds mediate the characteristic L-shaped molecular structure. tRNAs have two regions of fundamental functional importance: the anti-codon, which is responsible for specific mRNA codon recognition, and the 3' end, to which the tRNAs corresponding amino acid is attached (by aminoacyl-tRNA synthetases). tRNAs cope with the degeneracy of the genetic code in two manners: having more than one tRNA (with a specific anti-codon) for a particular amino acid; and 'wobble' base-pairing, i.e. permitting non-standard base-pairing at the 3rd anti-codon position. RNAcentral also lists the same sequence under 1 other name. Lineage: Eukaryota; Metazoa; Chordata; Mammalia; Artiodactyla; Camelidae. The record is from Rfam by way of RNAcentral.